GAUGUUUACCAGUUAGAAAUUUAAGACUUUCACGAUCUAGCAUCACAGAGUUAUUAUUAAGGUAUUUUAGGUGUCUUAAUCGUGCUCUUUUAAAACAAAAAUUCCGAUUAUUGCGAACAUUACAAUUCACUCCAUCAAAGAUCGAAGGAUACACUGAGAAGUUCAACAGUUUGUGGUAGAACAGUAGACAGUCGGGACCAACGUUCGGGUAACAUCGGACAAGAUCGGGUAACAAUGUAGUAGGCCCAAUAGGGCUUAAAGUUUCAAGCCCCCACUCCGUUAAUUUCGCUGUCUGCAGUUUUGCCCUCAGCACUGUUCAACCGCGCAAUCGCGAGCAUUCGUGAUUAAAAAGUUAUUCAACUUUGAAUUUCUAUUUCCUUUUCUAUUUUUUUAUACGAUUUUAUAAGUAUUUAUGACAAAUAAUACGAAAACUCGACACUUAUACUUUUACGGCUAUUCUCAUUCCCAUCAUUUUUUUCUUUGCCAAAAGAAGAAGGAUAACUUCAUCAUUUAACCUCAAUUUCAAUUAAACAUGCGAUUUAAGUUUUCCUUGCAAACGUUGAUCACGAUUGAUCUAACUUCAUCUAUAGCUGCAACGCUGUUAAAUAUUCGACAACGAUGUGCCAUACGCCACGUGCCCGCAACACGCUCUUGCAAUUAGGCCUAGGAAUCGCUAUUGUGCCGGAGCUUGACCCUUUCAAAUAGAAUCUCGACAAUGGGAAUUCGAGCAAUUUACCAAGAGGAACUGGACCAAUUGUGCCGCGAUCAUGGAAUUGAACAAACUUUGCCAAUAAGAUUCUCCAAAUUGACGUUCAAUUCCAUUUCGCUUUGUUAAUGAAGUUAAACGAACGUCCGUUUUAUUCCGUUUCGUUGUUGAAUCCUUGCGGACGAUCGAUCAUGCCCGAUGCUUACGAAUUAAUCGGAGGAGAGUUGUUUAAUAUGCAUCAAGCGUUUAAUGAAGUAAACAAGGAGGUAUAAAUGAUUGACUAUUUUAAUGUACAUAAGUUGCUUGUUAAUAAAAUAAACAAGAUAAUAUGAAAAAUGAUCAGGAAGAUGGAUAUUAAAGAA
Molecule: long non-coding RNA, 1068 nt
Organism: Apis florea (little honeybee)
Lineage: Eukaryota; Metazoa; Arthropoda; Insecta; Hymenoptera; Apidae
Source: RefSeq, a predicted model, not a curated record